This 107-nucleotide small nuclear RNA is filed under the name Myotis brandtii (Brandt's bat). Lineage: Eukaryota; Metazoa; Chordata; Mammalia; Chiroptera; Vespertilionidae. The record is from RNAcentral.
AUGCUAGCUUUGGCAGCACAUAUACUAAAAUUGGAACGAUACAGAGAAGGUUAGCAUGGCCCCUGUGCAAAGAUGACAUGCAAAUUUGUGAAGCGUUCUAUAUUUUU